This 753-nucleotide ribosomal RNA is filed under the name Triticum aestivum (bread wheat). Its description in RNAcentral is "partial small subunit ribosomal RNA". Lineage: Eukaryota; Viridiplantae; Streptophyta; Magnoliopsida; Poales; Poaceae. The record is from RNAcentral.
AUGCCUGGUACCACACACCGCUGGUGUAAGUGGCAUGUGCUUCGGAAGGCGAAAGAGCACCUCGGGCCGCAUUACACGAAACGAAGUGAUUUUAGGGCGGCGUUCCACAAGGUUGUCAAUGAAAUGCUAACUGUCGAUGAGUUCGAAGCUGCUUGGGCUGAUCUACUUGACAGAUACAAGCUCCACAACAACACCUUCCUGAUCCAGAUUUUCGAGGUUAUGCACAAGUGGGCAAAACCUUAUUUUAGUGGCAAGUUCUGUGCGAAGCAAACCAGUACGCAAAGGAGCGAAAGUGCGAACCAUUUGUUGAAGGGCUACAUUCCCCCGGCUUGCCCCAUGAACCUAUUUGUGAAACAAUACAGCAAGUUGCAGUUCGACCGAGAAGCUGAAGAAGGGUUCCAAGAGAAGAGAACAAGGCUGGGCGGUGUAGUUCUCCGAUACAAUUUUCCUCUGGAAGAGCAUGCGAGCCAGGUGUACACCCGGACGAUGUUUGAGAUGUUUGGUCAGGCUUUGUACCGUGCGGGAAGAUAUGAUGUCGAGGAAGUCGAACGAGGCACGAGGUACCAUGUGCGGCACAUUGAAGCUGAGAAGCGAGAGAAGUGGUGCCGCGAGAUGCAUGCUGUCGAUGUCCAUGAAGGUGGCGCUCGGUACACAUGCGAAUGCAGCUUGUUUGAGCACAUGGGGAUGCUUUGUUGCCAUGCUAUCGAGGUUCUUCUUCAUUUGGGGUGCGGAAGAUACCUAGCUUUCAUGUAA